GACGAACGCUGGCGGCGUGCUUAACACAUGCAAGUCGAACGGAAAGGCCCUGCUUUUGUGGGGUGCUCGAGUGGCGAACGGGUGAGUAACACGUGAGUAACCUGCCCUUGACUUUGGGAUAACUUCAGGAAACUGGGGCUACUACCGGAUAGGAGCUCCUGCUGCAUGGUGGGGGUUGGAAAGUUUCGGCGGUUGGGGAAGGACUCGCGGCUUAUCAGCUUGUUGGUGGGGUAGUGGCUUACCAAGGCUUUGACGGGUAGCCGGCCUGAGAGGGUGACCGGCCACAUUGGGACUGAGAUACGGCCCAGACUCCUACGGGAGGCAGCAGUGGGGAAUAUUGCACAAUGGGCGGAAGCCUGAUGCAGCAACGCCGCGUGCGGGAUGACGGCCUUCGGGUUGUAAACCGCUUUCGCCUGUGACGAAGCGUGAGUGACGGUAAUGGGUAAAGAAGCACCGGCUAACUACGUG
Molecule: ribosomal RNA, 468 nt
Filed under: uncultured bacterium
Lineage: Bacteria
Description: partial 16S ribosomal RNA
Rfam family: Bacterial small subunit ribosomal RNA
Source: RNAcentral